GUUAUGAUAUUGUUUUUAAAUAAGUUUAUCUGGAAUUUACGUUGGUUUUUGAGCAUAAUAUCUAAUUCAAUUAGGACCUUCUGCUAGGCUUUUGCAACUCCAUAUUAAUUUGUUGAAUGCAAGUUUGAAACUCAAUUGUUAGCUUUUCCAGAGGUUUGACUUUAAGCUAGAUUACGCUUGAAUUAACAUGACCAUCAAUUGAAACGACAUCAGUUAGCUAAUGUGCUAUAUGCCCUUUGCCAAUAAA
This 247-nucleotide unclassified non-coding RNA is filed under the name Hevea brasiliensis (rubber tree). Lineage: Eukaryota; Viridiplantae; Streptophyta; Magnoliopsida; Malpighiales; Euphorbiaceae. The record is from RNAcentral.